Molecule: transfer RNA, 2351 nt
Filed under: Sus scrofa (pig)
Lineage: Eukaryota; Metazoa; Chordata; Mammalia; Artiodactyla; Suidae
Description: lncRNA (ENSSSCG00030037313.1)
Source: RNAcentral
GGUGUCUGACAGAAGGGCUGCAAGUGUGUGUGACCCUGGCUCCAGGAGAUGAAGAAAAUCUGACCUGGAGGGCCUGCGGCCCGUGAAAAAUCUGUCAUGGAAAUCAGAUCACGGCAAGUCAAGAUCUGAAGGCAUUUCCUUUGCAUCAGAAAGAGGGGAGAUAUCCGUCACCUACACGAGAAGGAAGAGCCUUGACGACGCUGAUGUGCAGGGAUUUACAAAACAUCCCUCAGGUAAAGUGAGAGCUUUCUGAGGGAGGGCUGAGCUGAGGCUCUGUCAUCUCGCCUCAGUCUUAGGGAAACUCAAUGAGUGCUGGUGGGAAGCAGGAGGAAGCGAAGGAGGGAGGAAAGAAGGAAAUCAUUAGGGUCCAAGCCUUGAGGAAGCAGGUGUCAGGCUCAGCAGGAAUCCUUUAGUCCUGCCAAAGACCAUCUAGAAGAGACUUUAGAAAAAAGAUCAUUUCCCAAAGUAACCAGUUUCUCAAUAUGUAGAGGAUGUCAAGCCAGGCACAAGUUGUGUCCUGGCCGUGCAGUCAUACGUGUCUGGGCAGAUGGAUGAAUGAGUGGGAUGGGUGGCUCCAGUGAGUCUACUGAUGGGAGCCAUGUGGUCCAGGGUGGAGGCUCUUCUCUGGGCAGGUUUGAGGAGGUUGAGGUAGUGGGGAUUGGAGAGUGACGGGAAUGUCUGAUCCUGGCUGCUGGGCUGGUCCUCUGGAAUCUGAAAUCAUACCUGAGCCCUGGAAAGGGAGGGCGGGGGCGGGUGAGCAAACACAACCAGGGCUAACCGAGCUGUUUGUUUUUUUUAAAUUGAAGUAUAGUUGAUUUACAAUGUUGUGUUAGUUUCAGGUAUACAGCCAAGUGAUCAAGUUAUACACGUAUAUUCUUUUUCAGAUUGUUUUCCAUUAUAGGUUAUUACAAGAUAUUUAAUAUAGUUCCCUGUGCUCUACAAUAGGUCUUUGUUGUUUAUCUACUUUAUUUAUAGUAAUGUAUAUCUCUUCAUCAGAAAUUCCAGAUUUAUUCCUCUCCCCUCCCCCUUUGGUAACCCUACGUUUGUUUUCUAUGUCUGUUAGUUUAUUUCUCUUCUAUAAAUUAGUUUAUUUGCAUCAUUUUUAAAGAUUCCACAUGUAAAGUGCUAUCAAUUUGUUUUUGUCCUUCUGACUGACUUCACUUAGUAUGAGUAUCUCUCUAGGUCCAUCCAUGUUGCUGCAAAUGGCAUUAUUUCAUUCUUUUUUAUAGCUGAAUACUAUUCCAUUAUAUAUACACAUAUAUGUAUGUAUACACACCCCCCCACACACACCUUUUUUUUAAUCUAUUCAUCUGUCAAUGGAUAUUUAUGUUGCUUCCAUGUCUUUGCUGUUGUAAACAGUGCUGCCAUGAAGAUUGGUUUUCUCCAGAUAUAUUCCUAAUAGUGGGAUUGCAGGAUCAUAUGGUAGCUUUAUUUUUAGUUUAGUUUUAUGUUUUCUUUUUUGGCUGCACCUGUGGUAUACAGAAGUUCCCAGGCCAGGGAUCAAACCUGUGCCACAGCAGUGACAAUGGUCAGAUCCUUAACCACUAGACCACCAGGGAACUCCUAUUUUUAGGGUUUUUUGGUUUUGUUUUUUAGGGCCACACUCGAGGCAUAUGGAGGUUCCCAGGCUAGGGGUCGAAUUGGAGCUGUAGCCACUGGCCUACGCCAGAGCCAUAGCAACGUGGGAUCCGAGCCGCAUCUGCGACCCACACCACAGCUCACGGCAACGCCAGAUCGUUAACCCAUUGAGCAAGGGCAGGGACCAAACCCGCAACCUCAUGGUUCCUAGUCAGAUUCGUUAACCACUGCGCCACAAUGGGAACUCCUGUUUUUAGUUUUUUAAUGUACCUCUAUAUUGUUCUCCACAGUGGCUGCAGCAGUUUACAUUCCCACUAACAGCAUAGGAGAGUUCCCUUUUCUCCACCACUUCUCCAGUAUUUAUUAUUUGCAGACAUUUCAAUGAUGGCCAUUCUGCCCAGUGUGAGGUGAUACCUCAUUGUAGCUUUCAUUUGCAUUUCUCUAAAAUGAGAGAUGUGGAACAUCUGUUCAUGUGUCUGUUGGCCGCCUGUAUGUCUUUUUUAGAGAAACGCAAAUUUAGGUCCUCUGCACAUUUUUUGAUUGGGUUGUUUUUGUUUGUUUUACGUGCAGCUGUUAUGAGAUGUUUGUGCAUAAGGACCUGUUUUCGUGUGUAUAUUGUUUAUACAUAAGGAGCUGUUUUCAUGAAGGACUGUUGGUGCUCAGAGGGCAAAGUGCGACACAGUCUGAGAAAAGGAUUUUCUUCUUGUUUCCCUCUGUCAGCACUUUUGGUGUCAGGAACCAAGUCUGUUUAAACAGGAAAAAAAAAAAAAAAA